AUAUUGGUGGUUCGGUGGUAGAAUUUCCGCCUUCCAUGCAGGAGACCCGGGUUCAAUUCCUGGCCGAUGAA
RNAcentral lists this transfer RNA (71 nucleotides) under Loxodonta africana (African savanna elephant). It matches the Rfam family "tRNA". From Rfam's summary of the family: Transfer RNA (tRNA) molecules are approximately 80 nucleotides in length. Their secondary structure includes four short double-helical elements and three loops (D, anti-codon, and T loops). The record is from Rfam by way of RNAcentral. Lineage: Eukaryota; Metazoa; Chordata; Mammalia; Proboscidea; Elephantidae.